This 222-nucleotide long non-coding RNA is filed under the name Elaeis guineensis (African oil palm). RNAcentral's name for it is "long non-coding RNA (EGUI_LNC028981)". The record is from RNAcentral. Lineage: Eukaryota; Viridiplantae; Streptophyta; Magnoliopsida; Arecales; Arecaceae.
GGGCUUUUAAUAUCUAACUAGUUUUUCUGGCACCUGUAAUGCAGGUGCAUAUUGCACUGAUAUAUUAUAAUAAAAAAUACCACUAUAUUUUUUCCAUAUCUCGUACACAUCUUUUGCAUUUAUUAAUCGGUAAAAGAGAUUUUUAUAAUAACAUCAUUAAUGCAUAAUGGUUGUUGCCUCAAACCAUUGCAAUGCAAAGCCACUGUAAACUACCAACUAGCC